UGAAGGUGAUCUUACUGUGCUGUCUGUCACCCACUGAUCUCCAAGAAUAAUGUGGCUGAUCUGACUGGCGGAGUAGGCAUAUCCUUUCUCUGCA
Unclassified non-coding RNA from Procavia capensis (Cape rock hyrax), 94 nucleotides. Its record names the gene 7SK. It matches the Rfam family "7SK RNA". From Rfam's summary of the family: 7SK was discovered as an abundant small nuclear RNA in the mid-70s but a possible function has only recently been suggested. Two independent studies have found that 7SK RNA binds the CDK9/cyclin T complex (known as elongation factor P-TEFb). P-TEFb activates transcription by phosphorylating the C-terminal domain of RNA polymerase II. Lineage: Eukaryota; Metazoa; Chordata; Mammalia; Hyracoidea; Procaviidae. The record is from Ensembl.